AGAGUUUGAUCAUGGCUCAGGAUGAACGCCGGCGGCGUGCUUAACACAUGCAAGUCGAACGAUGAUGCCAGCUUGCUGGUGGAUUAGUGGCGAACGGGUGAGUAACACGUGAGAACCUGCCCUUGACUCUGGGAUAAGCCUGGGAAACUGGGUCUAAUACCGGAUAUGACCUUCCAUCGCAUGGUGGUUGGUGGAAAGCUUUUGUGGUUUUGGAUGGACUCGCGGCCUAUCAGCUUGUUGGUGGGGUAAUGGCCUACCAAGGCGACGACGGGUAGCCGGCCUGAGAGGGUGACCGGCCACACUGGGACUGAGACACGGCCCAGACUCCUACGGGAGGCAGCAGUGGGGAAUAUUGCACAAUGGGCGCAAGCCUGAUGCAGCGACGCCGCGUGAGGGAUGACGGCCUUCGGGUUGUAAACCUCUUUCAGUAGGGAAGAAGCGUAAGUGACGGUACCUGCAGAAGAAGCGCCGGCUAACUACGUGCCAGCAGCCGCGGUAAUACGUAGGGCGCAAGCGUUAUCCGGAAUUAUUGGGCGUAAAGAGCUCGUAGGCGGUUUGUCGCGUCUGCCGUGAAAGUCCGGGGCUCAACUCCGGAUCUGCGGUGGGUACGGGCAGACUAGAGUGAUGUAGGGGAGACUGGAAUUCCUGGUGUAGCGGUGAAAUGCGCAGGUAUCAGGAGGAACACCGAUGGCGAAGGCAGGUCUCUGGGCAUUAACUGACGCUGAGGAGCGAAAGCAUGGGGAGCGAACAGGAUUAGAUACCCUGGUAGUCCAUGCCGUAAACGUUGGGCACUAGGUGUGGGGGACAUUCCACGUUUUCCGCGCCGUAGCUAACGCAUUAAGUGCCCCGCCUGGGGAGUACGGCCGCAAGGCUAAAACUCAAAGGAAUUGACGG
This 894-nucleotide ribosomal RNA is filed under the name uncultured bacterium. RNAcentral's name for it is "bacterial SSU rRNA". It matches the Rfam family "Bacterial small subunit ribosomal RNA", at positions 8 to 916 of the family's 1533-position model. The record is from RNAcentral.